Molecule: ribosomal RNA, 604 nt
Filed under: Bibio marci (St. Mark's fly)
Lineage: Eukaryota; Metazoa; Arthropoda; Insecta; Diptera; Bibionidae
Description: eukaryotic LSU rRNA
Source: RNAcentral
AAACCGCUUAGGGGUUAAGCCCGAUGAACCUGAAUAUCUGAAAUGAGAAAUUCAAUAUUAAUAUUUGAUUUAUUUAAUAAAAUAAAUAAUUUGUUGGUAUGCACUUUUCUCAUAGUAAGACAUUGCAAUCCAUUAGUGUUAUAUUUUAUGUAAAUAAAAUGAUUUAUUAAAUGGUCUAUUUUGUAUAGUUUAUUUUUUUAUAUUUUAUAUAUUUAUUUAUGUUGAAUUAAAAAAGUAAUACAAUUGAUAGAACCUAAUAAAUAGCUAAUGGAAUUUAAAAUAUCAUGCUCAACACUUUAUUGUGUAUAACGAUUUAUUAUUAUUUUUAUAAUAUUAAAUGCAUGUUUAUAGUAUGUAUAUGAUUAGCAAUGCGAUAGAUUUGGGAUACCUUCGGGACCCGUCUUGAAACACGGACCAAGAAGUCUAACAUGUGUGCAAGUUAUUGGGUAUAUUGAUGAAACCUAAAAGCAUAAUUAAAAUAACUAUUUUGGGAUUACAAGUAAUUUAAUUUUAAAUUAUUUCUCAAUCCCGGGGCGUUCUAAUUAAACAUGUUUUAAGUAAUUGAGACCUCUGUUUAAGAGCGUACCUUGAGCAUACAUGCUGU